Helianthus annuus (common sunflower) is the source of this 1505-nucleotide long non-coding RNA. RefSeq lists it as uncharacterized. NCBI's taxonomy places the organism in Eukaryota, Viridiplantae, Streptophyta, Magnoliopsida, Asterales, Asteraceae. The record is from RefSeq and is a predicted model, not a curated record. The transcript is spliced from 4 exons.
AAAAAACACUCCAUAUUUUUUAUACUAUUUUCUCUAAUCAUGCAUCCAUUCAACCCAAACAACUCCAACCCGAACAACCCCAACCCGAAUAAUCCCAACCCGAAUCAAGGGUUGGAUGGAAUGGGGCAUCAAGGGUUGGAUAGAAUGGGGGUGGGUAAACUUGAACCACUGGGCUACAAGAGUGAAAAAGAAAAAGAAAAUUAAAGUGUACUGCUCUAACCCUUUUUAGAAUUUUGUCAAACCGCCGGUAGCAGACUACCGUAUUCAGCAAACCCUAGUAAAUGGAAGGUGAGAUUAAUCACAACACUAUCGCCGGCGCCGAUGACGUCGACACUCCGGCGCUCACUCGCCACAGACAACGACGGAGCUAUGGCGACGGAGGAGAAAGAGGUGGCGUUAGUGACAGAAGACUGGAGGCUCAGCCAGUUUUGGUACGACUGUGAAACGGCGGAGACGGUUGCGAGAGAAGUUCAACGCACUGUAUAUGUGGUGGCGGUGGUGGUUGAAGGUGACGGUGGAGGUGGUUUGAAGGUGGAGGUGGAGGUGGUGUUGGGUUUUAAAGAGGGAGAGAGAGAGGAGGAAGAUCUGUUUGGAGACUGAUAAGUUUGAAGAUCUGAUGGGUCUCGAAGAUGUUAUAUAUGUGCUUUUUUUAAGUCAAGUAGGCCGAACCACAUCCGGGUCUAAGCCCCAAUGUUGAGGCGCGAUUUUCUCAUUUUUUUAACAUUUUAACUAAACUGUAGGUGCUCACAAAUGGCAUAGAGGUGAAGUUACAAAGGGAUACGCUUAGAAGGCAAGUAGUGUUUAAGAAAGCUAUUGAACAUGAUAAACUAUGCUAAUAGAUUUGUAUGUGUUGGAUCUUGAAUGUUCGUAUCACAGGCAACGUUUCGGGGAAGAUCUUGGGCUGUUGAAUCUGAAAGACCUUGAAUAACUCCUCAAGCACCAACUGGACUCAAACUUUGAGGCAAAUCUGGUCCAUAGGAGGUGGCUCAACUGUACGAGAAAAAAAACUAAAGGUUGGAUCCUAUAUCAAAGGCUCUUCAGUUUUUAGGAUUUCCUGGUGGAUAAGUCUGUUUGUGAUAGCCAUGAAUCUCAGAUUCUAAGGCUAUUGGGUGUGGAGGAGGGUAGUCCUCAAAGGAUGAUCCACCACGUAGGCGUCCACGUAAGCGGAUGUGGAGAUGAGCCUAAAGGGAUGGACCUAGAGUGUGGGGAUGGGCCUAAAGAAGAAAGAGAGAAGUGGAGCGUCGAGGCAGGCUUCUUAAAAAAUAGAAGAAUUCUUAUCUUAGUAGUCACACCCCUUGAUCAAUCAUAUAUAUCAUUGCCAAAUUGCUAAUAAAAUGAUGGUUGGAUUUGGGUUUAUGAACAUAAUUACUGUUGUCAAUCUUAUUUUGUGUUGAUUUGUCUCAUAUGACUUGCAUGUGAACUCUAUUUGCAAUUCUGUAGCUGGCAUAGUGGAAGAAUGUAAUCUACUUUUUUUACAUAGAGGAAAUAAGGUCACUUUUAAUAUC